ACCGCGGUAAUCCAGUUGGUUAGGCGUCGGCAGUACUGAUGCCGAAGCGCAGUUCAAAUCUGCCUGCGGUA
This is a non-coding RNA of Phthorimaea operculella (potato tuberworm), 71 nucleotides long. The record is from the annotation of a GenBank genome assembly. NCBI's taxonomy places the organism in Eukaryota, Metazoa, Arthropoda, Insecta, Lepidoptera, Gelechiidae.